Molecule: long non-coding RNA, 1710 nt
Filed under: Nicotiana benthamiana
Lineage: Eukaryota; Viridiplantae; Streptophyta; Magnoliopsida; Solanales; Solanaceae
Description: long non-coding RNA (NBEN_LNC042311)
Source: RNAcentral
AAACUUUUUGUUAUAUUCAAGCCUUAGUAGAUUCUAAUGACUUGUGACACCUCGAUGUUGAGCCGUGUAUUUAUUCUGCAUUGUUCAUUUAGACUUACAUAUGAUAUAUCUGAUUAAUUAAAGGCUUAAAAAUGAUUGUCUUUGUUUUACAUGGGUAAUUCGGGAGUUGUGUCGGCUGGCCUAGUUUCACGAUAGGUGCCAACACGACCUGGACGAUUUUAGGAUCGUGACAGAAUACCAGUUCACGACGGACUUGAAUUGCUUUUCUAAUUUCCCCGAAGUACUCCAAAUAGCCCUUUAAACAGUAAAAGCAACCAAUCGAGUACCCUAUACUCGAGUAUAUCUCACUACUUCAAAUUUUAAUCAAUACAUGACUUAUUUAAGAUGAAAACUCAAACUAAAAUCGUGCUCAAAGGAAGAUAAGAUCAAGCUUAACAAAUCAUUCAAUGAACCGACUAACCCGGUGAAUUAAACAAUCCAAAAAUUUGAAUUGAAUCCAUCAUUUGUAGUCGCGACUAACUUAAUAUUCAAACAAAAGACAAAACAAUAGACCGGCUAGGCCGAGGAACAAAUAUCCAAGAGUAAUAAGCACGAGCAAACAAACAAUCGACCGGCUAGGUCAAUAAAACUAAAACUUUAGCAAGAACAAAUGCAUAUGACAUAGUCGACCACCUAGGUCGAAGAACCAAAAAUCAAAACUGAUGAACUAUAUAUGAGCUAAUCGACCAGCAAGGUCGAAAAAGCUAAUUUAAAGAUAUGAAGAAAUAUAUGAUUCCAGAAUAACAACGAAUUACUAAAAUAACAUUCACUAAUAAUACGACUAAGAGAAUCAUGACUACGAUUAAUCCCUAAACCUAAUGAAAAAUAUACACGGAAAAUCAGAGAAGAAGAAGAGGGAAGAAAGAAGAAAGAAGAAAAAAGGAAAGAGAGAAUAGGGUUAUACCAAACGAUGGAAGCCGAUGCCAAAGACAACGAGCUCUUAUGCUAUGAACUAACAAGCGAUCCACAACUAACAUUACAAUAGUUUAGUUAACCUAUAAAUGCUACUACCAAAAUUAUAAAGAUUAAACCUUAAAAUUAGAUUCGAAGCACAAGUUGAAAAUUAGAAACGAGAAAGGGGAGACAAAUUGAAGAUUUACCAACAACUCGAGCACACAGGCAGUAAUGAGACAAAGGCAGCGAUAGUGGUGAUUCAACCCGGGCAUGAUUUUAUUGUUGAUUGAUACCAAACUACUAAAUACGGUAAGUUGAAUCUCGAUUUCAGUAUAAUCGACAAUAAAAUCAUGUCCGAGUCGAUUGGAGGCAAGAACGGAAGAGCACUGGAGGCAUUGGCGAGGGGCAGUGGGGAUCGCCGAAAUUUUGUUUGCUGGAAUUUCGGGUUAAGACCAAUGCCAAAUGAUAGCCCUUGUCAAGCUCUAUAUAUGUAUGUAAAUAUUAGGUGGAAAGGGUGGCUCAAUCAUCCCGAAUUUGUGAAAAACAAGCUGUAGCUAGGGUUUCUUAAGAUCUAAAUCUCGUGGGUUUUGAGGGGUUUUUAGGGAAUUUAGCUUGGAGAUUCGGAAACUGGGGGUUAAGGAGAGCAUAGGGUGAAAAAAUGGGGCCGAUUGGACUACCACCAACGGCGGCGCACGGUGGUGCCAGCGGUGGUGGCUUUGAGAGAGGGUGAGAGAGAGAGAUGGAGGAGGCUAGGGUUUGUAUCAUGUGAAAAAAUGG